This 218-nucleotide ribosomal RNA is filed under the name uncultured bacterium. RNAcentral describes it as "partial 16S ribosomal RNA". It matches the Rfam family "Bacterial small subunit ribosomal RNA", at positions 99 to 334 of the family's 1533-position model. The record is from RNAcentral.
CAAACGGGUGAGUAACACGUGGGAAUCUACCCAUCAGUACGGAAUAACAUUUGGGAACAAAUGCUAAUACCGUAUAUUCUCUUCGGAGGAAAGAUUUAUCGCUGAUGGAUGGGCCCGCGCCUGAUUAGGUAGUUGGUGGGGUAAUGGCCUACCAAGCCGACGAUCAGUAGCUGGUCUGAGAGGAUGAUCAGCCACACUGGAACUGAGACACGGUCCAG